UCGGGCCUUGCGCUAUCAGAUGAGCCUAGGUCGGAUUAGCUAGUUGGUGAGGUAAUGGCUCACCAAGGCGACGAUCCGUAACUGGUCUGAGAGGAUGAUCAGUCACACUGGAACUGAGACACGGUCCAGACUCCUACGGGAGGCAGCAGUGGGGAAUAUUGGACAAUGGGCGAAAGCCUGAUCCAGCCAUGCCGCGUGUGUGAAGAAGGUCUUCGGAUUGUAAAGCACUUUAAGUUGGGAGGAAGGGUUGUAGAUUAAUACUCUGCAAUUUUGACGUUACCGACAGAAUAAGCACCGGCUAACUCUGUGCCAGCAGCCGCGGUAAUACAGAGGGUGCAAGCGUUAAUCGGAAUUACUGGGCGUAAAGCGCGCGUAGGUGGUUCGUUAAGUUGGAUGUGAAAUCCCCGGGCUCAACCUGGGAACUGCAUCCAAAACUGGCGAGCUAGAGUAUGGUAGAGGGUGGUGGAAUUUCCUGUGUAGCGGUGAAAUGCGUAGAUAUAGGAAGGAACACCAGUGGCGAAGGCGACCACCUGGACUGAUACUGACACUGAGGUGCGAAAGCGUGGGGAGCAAACAGGAUUAGAUACCCUGGUAGUCCACGCCGUAAACGAUGUCAACUAGCCGUUGGGAGCCUUGAGCUCUUAGUGGCGCAGCUAACGCAUUAAGUUGACCGCCUGGGGAGUACGGCCGCAAGGUUAAAACUCAAAUGAAUUGACGGGGGCCCGCACAAGCGGUGGAGCAUGUGGUUUA
RNAcentral lists this ribosomal RNA (750 nucleotides) under Pseudomonas chlororaphis. RNAcentral describes it as "bacterial SSU rRNA". It matches the Rfam family "Bacterial small subunit ribosomal RNA", at positions 202 to 948 of the family's 1533-position model. Lineage: Bacteria; Pseudomonadati; Pseudomonadota; Gammaproteobacteria; Pseudomonadales; Pseudomonadaceae. The record is from RNAcentral.